AUUGAACGCUGGCGGCAGGCCUAACACAUGCAAGUCGAGCGAGCGUCGGACGGGUGAGUAAUGUAUGGGGAUCUGCCCGAUAGAGGGGUAUAACUACUGGACACGGUGUCUAAUACCGCAUACUAUCGGAUGACCCCAUAUGGGAUUAGCUAGUAUGUGGGGUAAAGGCUCACCUAGGCGACGAUGUCUAGCUGGUCUGAGAGGAUGAUCAGACACACUGGGACUGAGACACGGCCCAGACGCCUACGGGAGGCAGCAGUGGGGAAUAUUGAACAAUGGGCGCAAGCCUGGUGCAGCCAUGCCGCGUGUAUGAAGAAGGCCUUAGGGUUGUAAAGUACGUUCAGCGGGGAGGCGUUACCCGCAGAAGAAGCACCGGCUAACUCCGGGCCAGCAGCCGCGGUAAUAC
RNAcentral lists this ribosomal RNA (406 nucleotides) under uncultured bacterium. Its description in RNAcentral is "partial 16S ribosomal RNA". It matches the Rfam family "Bacterial small subunit ribosomal RNA", at positions 30 to 526 of the family's 1533-position model. The record is from RNAcentral.